AUUGAACGCUGGCGGCAUGCCUUACACAUGCAAGUCGAACGGUAACGGGCCUUCGGGUGCCGACGAGUGGCGAACGGGUGAGUAAUACAUCGGAACGUGCCCGAUCGUGGGGGAUAACGAGGCGAAAGCUUUGCUAAUACCGCAUACGAUCUACGGAUGAAAGCCGGGGACCGCAAGGCCUUGCGCGGACGGUGCGGCCGAUGGCAGAUUAGGUAGUUGGUGGGAUAAAAGCUUACCAAGCCGACGAUCUGUAGCUGGUCUGAGAGGAUGAUCAGCCACACUGGGACUGAGACACGGCCCAGACUCCUACGGGAGGCAGCAGUGGGGAAUUUUGGACAAUGGGCGCAAGCCUGAUCCAGCCAUGCCGCGUGCAGGAUGAAGGCCUUCGGGUUGUAAACUGCUUUUGUACGGAACGAAAAGCCUUCUUUUAAUACAGGAGGGUCAUGACGGUACCGUAAGAAUAAGCACCGGCUAACUACGUG
This 482-nucleotide ribosomal RNA is filed under the name uncultured bacterium. Its description in RNAcentral is "partial 16S ribosomal RNA". It matches the Rfam family "Bacterial small subunit ribosomal RNA", at positions 30 to 507 of the family's 1533-position model. The record is from RNAcentral.